GGCCCGCGGCGGCGGAGCCAUGGAGCCCGUGGGGCCGGAGCCCUCCCUGUACACUGUGAAGGCCCUGCUCAUCCUGGACAGCCUCGGCCAACGUCUCCUGGCCAAGUACUACGAUGGCACCUUCCCCACGGCCAAGGAGCAGGCGGCCUUCGAGAGGAGCGUCUUCAGCAAGACCUACCGGGCAGGCGGGGAGGUCGCCUGUCUGGAAGGACUCACCGUGGUCUACAGGAGCAGCGCCGACCUCUUCUUCUACGUGGUGGGGGGCUGCCAGGAGAAUGAGCUGAUGCUGUCAGCCGUGCUCGCCUGCCUCCUCGACACCCUCGGCCACCUCCUGCAGAAGGAGGUGGAGAAGCGCUUGCUGCUGGACAACAUGGAGGGGACAUUCCUGGUGGUGGAUGAGAUCGUGGACAGAGGGGUGAUCCUGGAGAGUGACCCCCAGCAAGUGAUCCAGCGGCUGAGCCUGCGGGGCCCGGAGCCGGCAGCGUAUGGCUUCGUCCUCUUCGACUACCUGGCAGGCGGCUCGGAGCAGAGGGACACGAGGGACGCUGGCGGCCGCAAAUAGGCAGCGCCGAGGAGGGUGGUGACAACCCUCUGUCUGAGCAGAGCAUGUCCCAGGUCCUGCAGCCCACCGGGGCGCACAGCGAACCAUCCCCGCUGGCGUGACGGCACCGGGGUCUCCCCUCGGAGGGACUGGCUGGAAAGGGGGGACCCCAGCACCAGGGGACAGUGGGCAGGGGGACACACGGACCUUCCCCGGCAUCCCCCCACUCCCACCCCAGCCUACGUCCCCCAGACACCCCCUCCCUGGCCGUGCCGCCUCCAGAAGCCCUUCAGCAGGUCUCUUAUCCUCCCCCAGCGUUAAUAAUAUUGGGGGAAAAAUUAAGCGCUAAUGAGGGAGGACUGGUUCACCGUUCCCGCUUGCUCCUGCCUGGAGCCGGCUACAAAUAAAGUUUUCCUCCCCGG
This is an RNA transcript of Chroicocephalus ridibundus (black-headed gull), 963 nucleotides long. It is a transcript of the gene named COPI coat complex subunit zeta 2, with no coding region annotated. The record is from RefSeq and is a predicted model, not a curated record. NCBI's taxonomy places the organism in Eukaryota, Metazoa, Chordata, Aves, Charadriiformes, Laridae. The transcript has 10 exons.